GGGGCGGAGCUGCGGAGCUGUGUCAGUGCGGAGCUGCGGGGCCGUGUCAGUGCGGAGCUGUGUCAGUGCGGAGCUGUGGGGCCGUGUCAGUGCGGAGCUGUGUCAGUGCGGAGCUGUGGGGCCGUGUCAGUGCGGAGCUGUGUCAGUGCGGAGCUGCGGGGCCGUGUCAGUGCGGGGCUGUGUCAGUGCGGAGCUGUGGGGCCGUGUCAGUGCGGAGCUGCGGUGCGGAGCUGCGGGGCGGAGCUGCGGGGCGGAGCUGCGGGGCCGUGUCAGUGCGGGACUGUUUUUCCAGGAGAGCUGAGACAUUUCCUGGGCUCCAGAGCAUCUCCAGCAGUGCACGACAUCGUUCCUGACAGUGUUCUCAACACGCUCCUGGUGACCA
Molecule: long non-coding RNA, 382 nt
Organism: Colius striatus (speckled mousebird)
Lineage: Eukaryota; Metazoa; Chordata; Aves; Coliiformes; Coliidae
Exons: 2
Source: RefSeq, a predicted model, not a curated record